CCUACGGGGUGCAGCAGUGGGGAAUAUUGGGCAAUGGGCGCAAGCCUGCUCCAGCAAAGCCGCGUGCAGGAAGAAGGCUUUCGGGUCGUAAACUUCUUUUGUCAGGGAAGAGUAGAAGACGGUCCCUGACGAAUACGCCACGGCUAACUACGUGCCAGCAGCCGGGGUAAUACGUAGGUGGCAAGCGUUGUCCGGAUUUACUGGGUGUAAAGGACGUGUAUACGGGGUGAAAAGUCAGAUGUGAAAUCCUGCGGCUUAACCGAAGAACUGCAUUUGAAACUGUUGAUCUUGAGUACUGGAGAGGCAUGCGGAAUUCCUAGUGUAGCGGUGAAAUGCGUAGAUAUUAGGAGGAACACCAGUGGCGAAGGCGGUCUGCUGGACAGCAACUGACGGUGAGGCGCGAAAGCGUGGGGAGCAAACAGGAUUAGAUACCCGGGUAGUC
RNAcentral lists this ribosomal RNA (442 nucleotides) under uncultured bacterium. RNAcentral's name for it is "partial 16S ribosomal RNA". It matches the Rfam family "Bacterial small subunit ribosomal RNA", at positions 338 to 795 of the family's 1533-position model. The record is from RNAcentral.